AAUAGAUACCCCGGUAGUCCACGCCGUAAACGAUGAGUGCUAAGUGUUAGAGGGUUUCCGCCCUUUAGUGCUGCAGCUAACGCAUUAAGCACUCCGCCUGGGGAGUACGGUCGCAAGACUGAAACUCAAAGGAAUUGACGGGGGCCCGCACAAGCGGUGGAGCAUGUGGUUUAAUUCGAAGCAACGCGAAGAACCUUACCAGGUCUUGACAUCCUCUGACAACUCUAGAGAUAGAGCGUUCCCCUUCGGGGGACAGAGUGACAGGUGGUGCAUGGUUGUCGUCAGCUCGUGUCGUGAGAUGUUGGGUUAAGUCCCGCAACGAGCGCAACCCUUGAUCUUAGUUGCCAGCAUUUAGUUGGGCACUCUAAGGUGACUGCCGGUGACAAACCGGAGGAAGGUGGGGAUGACGUCAAAUCAUCAUGCCCCUUAUGACCUGGGCUACACACGUGCUACAAUGGAUGGUACAAAGGGCUGCAAGACCGCGAGGUCAAGCCAAUCCCAAUAAAACCAUUCUCAGUUCGGAUUGUAGG
Molecule: ribosomal RNA, 530 nt
Filed under: uncultured bacterium
Lineage: Bacteria
Description: bacterial SSU rRNA
Rfam family: Bacterial small subunit ribosomal RNA
Source: RNAcentral